This is an RNA transcript of Physeter macrocephalus (sperm whale), 3411 nucleotides long. RefSeq lists it as uncharacterized. Lineage: Eukaryota; Metazoa; Chordata; Mammalia; Artiodactyla; Physeteridae. The transcript has 3 exons. The record is from RefSeq and is a predicted model, not a curated record.
CAGAAAUGGAGGCUUUAACUCCAUUUCCUCUUUAAAACUGCCCUUUUUUCCUUUGCAGAUUGGACUGGCUAAGGACGAUCAGCUGAAGGUUCAUGGGUUUUAAGUGCUUCUGGCUCACUGAAGCUUAAGUGAGGAUUUCCUUGCAAUGAGUAGAAUUUUCCUUCUGUCCCUUGUCACAAGUUUAAAAACCUCACAGCUUGUGUAAUGUAACCAUUUGGGGUGUGCUUUUAACUUGGACUAGUGUAACUCCUUCAUGCAAUAAACUGAAAAGAGCCAUGCUGUCUAGUCUUGAAGUCCCUCAUUUAAACAGAGAUCAAGCAGUAGGCACCUGGCAGUGUCCGGCCUGAAACAAAGCAGUAACAGUGAUGUUUCAGCCAAGUCCAGAGCCCCAAGAUCACAGACGGCUAUGUCUGGCCAGAAGCUCCUCAGCAAUCCCUCUACAGAGUUCCCUGCCCUAAGAGAAUGUCGCCACCUGAACAGCCCUCGGUGAAGCUGAGAGUGGAGGAUGGGGUGAGGCAGCGACGGCAGCUGUACUGCUAGAGGGAGUCUUUGAUCAUCAGGGGAAAGAUCCCCUGGUACCUCCAGCGUGACCAGGUGGGCAGAGCUUAGAGCAGCCACCUUCCUUCUAUUGAGGUGACAGGACAUCUGGCUUGCCACCAAGGUCUUUUUGACCAGACAUAUCCUAGCUGAUCGAUGUCCAAACUAGAAUGUGAGGCCAACCUUCUAUCAGAGUUAAACUUUUGACAAGGGAACAAAUUUCAAACCGAUGUAUCAGUCAUGUAGCUGUAGAGCUCGCAACUUACUAGCAACAGCUGCCCAAUGCCAUGUGAAGUAACAAACUGGUUUUUGGUUCUUUUUGGGUUUUUUUCCCCCUUCAGUUUUAAUGUUAUGUAAUGUAUUUAAACCCUUAUUUAAAUAAAACUUGUUUUCAGAAACAUCUGACUUGCAGAUUUCUGUUUAAUAGUCAUAGUCAAUCUUGUAUGUGUGGAGGAACCACAGAAAUGCCAGUAGAGGAUACAUCUGCCCCUGCAGCUCCUCAAAUGGGGCCUCAACCUCUUAAUGAGAAACUAGUGAGCUUGUCCCUCCAAGUGCCCCCCACGUCAGCUGUCUUGUAAGCAUUCAGCCAGAGCUGUGCUGUCCCAUUAAUCUGUCCUGAAAGAAGGUGCUGCUUGGCCAACUGCCUGAGUGGUUUAGUGGUUGUGGAGGAACUUGCCUUGUGAGAUGACAGGGCAGAGUUGGUUUGGAAAUCCUUGAAUUCCCUUCUUAACAGGUCUUAAGGACUGUGACAAAAUGAUAAACAUGGUGUGCGGCUUGAUGUAAUCCACAAACCCUAGAAUAAGGCAUAACGAAAGUACUUUUUCUAGAGAAUAGGUUUGUAGUAUUAAAAAUCUAGUUACUAAAAUGUUGGAGAAGCUGAUACUUAAUGUUGGGAGGCCAUCCCUUGACAAAGGGCAGUGAGCAGUGAAGUGUAUCAAAGUCUGCUCUUAAUGGGGCUUCCCUGGUGGCGCAGUGGUUGGGAGUCUGCCUGCCAAUGCAGGGGACACGGGUUCGUGCCCCGGUCCGGGAAGAUCCCACAUGCCGCAGAGCGGCUGGGCCCGUGAGCCAUGGCCGCUGAGCCUGCAUGUCCAGAGCCUGUGCUCCGCAACGGGAGAGACCACAACAGUGAGAGGCCCACGUACCGCAAAAAAUACAAUAAUAAUAAUAAAAGUCUGCUCUUAGGGCCAUUCUAUUAAACACAAAAUCUUCUGUUUGUGGGUUAUGAAUUGGUCAGACUUAAGUGAUCAGUUAAGAAUGGUCUGAGGAUGGUCGUUAGGAGUCAAUGCUUCCCCUCUUGGUUGCCGGCCCAUUUUGUAAAUAAAGGUUAGCCUCCCACAUAGAGGCCAACCUGGAGCCAGGGAGGUGUGUGUGGAAGAGGAGGACAAGUGAGAUGCAGGGCUGAGCCAGUGGUAACUGCCCUGAAAACAAGAUUCUAACCCCAGAGGCAGAUGCUUGUAACCGAAGAUCCUACAAAACUGAUUGUGUUCAAUAAACUUACCACUUGGCUCCAAAUGUAGCGGCAUUGUUCAAAUUAUUUGGAUGAUACUUUUAAAAAUCAGAAAGAUCUGACUGUUAAGCAAACUGGCUUGUAGGGGCUUCUAUUACAGAACAACCUAGAGGCCAAACCCACAGAAGACCACAAUCAGAAUAUGGGAUGAGGGGCUUCCCUGGUGGCGCAGUGGUUAAGAAUCCGCCUGCCAGUGCAGGAGACAUGGAUUCAAGCCCUGGUCUGGGAAGAUCCCACGUGCCAAGGAGCAACUAAGCCCGUGCACCACAACUACGGAGCCUGUGCCUUAGAGCCUGCGAACCACAACUACUGAGCCCGCAUGCCUAGAGCCCAUGCCCUGCAACAAGAGAAGCCACCGCAAUGAGAAACCCACGCACCACAAUGAAGAGUAGCCCCCGCUCGCGGCAACUAGAGAAAGCCCACGUGCAGCAGCCAAGAUCCAAUGCAGUCAAAAAUAAGUAAAUUUUUUUUUUUAAUCUUUUAAAAGAAGAUGGAAUGAAACAGUAAGAGAAUCCUGUGCUGUUGAUGUGCUGGUCCUGUGCUAGGUUGUUAACAUUUCUUGUGGCUAUUAAAGACCUCCAGUUCUCCAGAAUGGGACUAUUCUUUGGAAAACUAGCAACAUCAGUAUUCAGUCAGCUGUCUGGAACCAACCAAAACAAAUAUCUGAACAUAAUGGCAAGAGUCUCCCUGCCCAGCCCGAUGCUCACCCUCGGCAACGGGAACAAGCAGGGCCAAAGACAAAAUGAAGGCAAAAUGCAGACAGUACGCGGGCCUCUCACUGCUGUGGCCUCUCCCGUCGCGGAGCACAGGCUCCGGACGCACAGCCUCAGCGGCCAUGGCUCACGGGCCCAGCCGCUCCGCGGCAUGUGGUAUCUUCUCGGACCAGGGCAAGAACCCGUGUCCCCUGCAUCGGCAGGUGGACUCUCAACCACUGCGCCACCAGGGAAGCCUCCAAUAAAAUUUUUUAAAAAGAAUUAAAAAAACAAAACAAAAAACUACUAUUCACUGUCACAAUUACUUUGAAAUUAAGAGCUCCUUGACUAAUUUUUAACUUUUAAGGAGAUAAGACAUUAUUUCAAAAUUAGCUCAUAAUCUGAGGCUUUGGUAAUUUCUUCUCUUGCACUUAACUCCAAUUAAAAUAUUCAUAAAAUGCACUGUUCUUGGUGGAACCUGUUAAAAAUUCAGAUUCUAGGCCCCUCCCAGGACAAUUUGGCUGUCCUGGGUAUUAGCUAACCAGUGCCCGGGUCCCAGCUACUUUUCAAGGGCCUACAAAAAUGGCUAAGGACUGAAGAAAAAUGCAUCAUUUCCAAAAUUUGACUCAAAAACUGCAAAAUCAGCAUAACUGUUUAACACUACAAAAGCUAACA